Prosopis cineraria is the source of this 4071-nucleotide long non-coding RNA. RefSeq lists it as uncharacterized. Lineage: Eukaryota; Viridiplantae; Streptophyta; Magnoliopsida; Fabales; Fabaceae. The transcript is spliced from 16 exons. The record is from RefSeq and is a predicted model, not a curated record.
CCUCCCUUUCCCCCAAAAAAAAAAAAAAAAAAAACCCCUCUUCCGACUCUUCUUGGCACUCGUCUUUUUGUUUGCUCUCCCUUGAACCCUUCUGCUUCUUUCUAUCUCACUCGCUUUCGCAUUGCCUUGUCUUUCACCAAUGGCUUCCUUCAGGCCCGAAUCAGCCGCUGUCCCGACAUUUGACAGCAUUUCGUCGAUUAUUGUGAAAAUUUGCAUGGAAGAGGUUUGUGGUUCGAGACUUGGUCAAGAACAUGAGGAGCUAAGAGGGAUGAAAUUCAGACCUAAAAUGGACCAUUUGGGGCAUGAAUUACUAUGCAUAAGAGGAGUGUAUGGGGUUUACCAUGCAUUUGAACACAAGGGAUCAUAUUGACUUGUCAAAGUUUAAGAUAGUCGCAAUGCGGCUAACAGACUUUGAAGACAAAAUUCAAAUUUAAUUUUGAGCUAUAUUGUAACAUUCUGAUUUUUUAAUCUUACGAUUAGCUAUUAAUCAGGGGUAGAUUAUUAAUUAGUAAAUGAUUAGAAGUUUGGAUGGUUAUUUAAUGAUUUGACUCCUUGGCAUGUUGAAUGAGCAGAUACGGGUGGAAGAAUCGUGUUUUGAAACGAAGCGUGUGAGCGUGGUGGGGAUUUCCUUACUGUGAUAUGUGCUGCGGCAUAAGGCUGCUUGUGCCAUGACAUAUGGUAUAGAAAAUGACUUGAUUUUUGUGUGUGGAGCUUGUGAGUUCAGAAGGAAAAGGAAGAGAAACAUGAAAGAGAGAGGAGAGGAAGGCUUUGGCUACUAGGGCAAGAGAUUUCAAAGCAUUUAAAGGUACUUGAAUCACUCCGAUCGGAUGUUGUAUGUGGAAACGGUGCAUGCCGAAAGUUUGUUUUGUGAACUGUCACAUGACAGUUCGUAUCACACUGCAGUGCAUGACACAGAGAAGGCCAGCUUAUGGGUUUAUGCCACACGUCAUGGCACAUGUGGUGCAUGUCACGGCUUAUAGACCAAAUUUUGACUUAUUUUCCUUCUUUAAAAGGACAAACAAUCAAGGAGGAGGACAACAAGGCAUGUAUAGGAACACAUACAAUCCUACAUAGAGGAAUCAUCCAAACUUAUCAUAUGCCAAUCAAAAUGGAGUUUUGAAUCAAGAACACUAACGAGGAGGAUACAAAAGUGAUGAAGAUGAGGAAGGAGUGGAACAAGUUUAUGUUGAUCCUCCAUCUUAAAAGGAGUCAAAAGAGCAAGAAAAUCAAGGAAAUCAAGCCACAUGCCAUUAUACAACAAGAGGCCAAAAAUGUCAGAAUGAGAAGGGGAAAGAAGUUGUCCAAAACCAAGAGAUUGCAAAGAAAUAGCCUUCCCUCAAGCCCAAGCAUCUAGAUCACUAGCUCAAGCACCACAAGAUCAAGAGGUCUUCACGUGUGAAUUGGCAGGCUGAAUGCUAGGCUCAAUUAUGUGGAACCACUAUAUCAUGCAUGGAAUGGCUGUUUCAAAACCUAAAUCAUUCGAGAAGAGAGAUCACACGUGGAACACUAUAAUACUCAUGUGUGAAAUGGCCUUAAACAACCAGGAAAUGACACAAAUGUUUACUUGACACCAUUGAUUGAAGAUUUGAAGAUGAUGUGGGAGGAAAAAUAUGGAGAAUCUCGUCACUGACAAAAAAAAUUCUAAAAGACAUAAAGGAGGGGCCACACGACUGACUAAAUUGGCCCUAAAUUCAUGAAAAAGUUCAUCUUGAUUUUGAUGACAAUGGCCAGCCAAUUGAUAAGAAGAAAGGAAACAUCUUUAAAAGUUUUGUAGGUUUGGUGGCACGUCAAAAAAUCAACAUCUUGGAGGAAAAGUGGGAUGAUAUCAAUGAAAGUGAUAGAAAUGAUGUUUGGAAAUCUAUACUGAUUACUAUGACAUCAAGGAAACUCCAUUUUUAAAGGACAAGUGGCUAAAGUAUGCUGGGGACCGAUAGAGGGACUUUAAAUCCAAGGAAAAAAGUCAAAAAGGUCAAGAGCAUUGAAAGAAAAAUCUAUACAACUAUACUAUGUCUCAAGGAGGGUAUGCAUAUAUUUAUAAUAUAAUGGAUCAAGAGAAGUGGGAAGCUAAAAGACAAGCAGUGGGAGUUGAUAAUAUUGAAGACAUUUCUCCUCCAUCUCCUGUUAAUCGUGCUCAAGCAUGGAAGAGAGGAUAGAAGAAUAAAAAGGGAGAGUUUAUUUCCCCGGAGGCUAGAGAAGUAGUUGAGAAAAUUGAUGUUCUUACAGAAGCAUCAUCCGAGGGGAUCUUUAUGUCUAUUGGCAGAAAGGACAUAUUGACCAUGGCCUAAGGGAGUGAAGGGCACCCCUACUGUGUUAUUGCGGUUCUAAAAGGUAUAGGUAUAAGACAAUAUUUUAAACCUCCACCAUCUAAUCUUAUGCCAAUCCAGCAAGUACAAAUGAUGAUAGCAGAAUGCAAGUCAAGCAUGAUGAUUGAAAUGCAAUCAAUGAUUAGUAAUUUACAAAUGCAACCACAACAAACACUGAAUUAUGGUAGUGCUAUAGAUCUAGUGUGUGAUCUUAGCCUAUCAGAUUAAGGAAUGCCUUGCAUACUUUAAGUAAAGGAUCAUGGCAAGCAAGUAGUUGCAUAUGGAAAGGUGUAUAACCAUUCAACUAUAGUCCACCAUCAGCAGAUACAACAUAACCAAGUAAAGGUGAUGGUUGAAGAGGUUGUGGACGCUAAUGCUCCUGUACUAUUUCCUCCUGAAGAGGUGGAGACAAUGGGACAAGCUCAACAUAAUUUCAUUAUUUGGUUGACAAAGCUAGUCCAUAGGUUACUAAAGAGGUACCUCCACAAGAUAUGCACCAAACUCGGUGUCGAUAAGAAUUAUGGGUUCUUAUCUCCACUUUUAACCUCCAUUGAUAAAGUGAAUCAAAGAGCUUCUUAUAUUGGAAAGACAAUGUGUAAGCAAAAAAAGAAAUGCUGGUUUUUACCAAUUAUUGAGAGUCAUCAUUGGAUGCUUACUGUCAUUUGGCCGUAUGAAAAUACUAUAUACUGCAUUUGUUCACUGCAAAAGGAAAAUCUUUAGUGACAUAUUGGAAAUCAGCGGGAAUGGUUGACAAGAAAAAAAAUGAAAUCAAGUUUGUACCAAUGCAAUGUCCUCAACAAUCAGGAAGUGUAGAGUGCAGUUAUUAUGUGAUGAUUUUUAUGUAUAAAAUCAUCACUUAAGGUAUUGGUCACUCAUUUGAAUAGGUGAAUAAGUGUGACAAAUAAAGACAUAACUCAAUUGGCACAUGAGGAAGCUUGAGCACGAAAUUUCAGACCUGAAUGGGCUUAAAAAUAGUGUGAUUUAUCUGGUCUAAUGAGGCACACAUGAAGGUUCCAUGCACUUGCACAUAAUGGAUCAAGUUGACUUGUCAAAGCUCAAGUUAAUUGCAAUGUGUUUGAGAAGCUUGGAGGCAAAUUUCAUAUCUGAAUUUAAGCUUCAUUUAGAGUGAAUUCCAAGGAAAUUAACGGAGCAUAAGAGCUUAUCAUAUCCAUGCAUAUAUGGGAUUAGAAGAGAAAGCAUUGGAAUUAUCACCCAAGUUAACUUGCAACCCAGACUACCCUUAACCUCACUUGACCUAAUGACUUGUGUUUAGUUUUUUGGAAACUUGUUUAGCAAGUAGACCACCACAAUUUCAUCCCAAACACUUCUUAGCUAGCUUAGGAUCAAUUUUUUCAGAUCAUUAACUCAUAUUUUGAAAUUUCAAGCUUCAAGUUCUCUCACUUCUCUCUCUAUACUUCCAUUCUCUCUCCUCUAUAUCUUUCAAACUAACCAUCCAACUUUCACAAAACCACCACCAUUCUCUUUCUCUUUUCUUCCUUUACAUAACCUAAUAGCUUUCUCAAGGAUUAAACCAAGCUAUCAUAGGGCAAAAUCAUGGUGAAGAAGACCAUAAUCUUCGAGCUUCAUCUUGUUCAUCACUUGAAGAUGUAAGGCUAGAUUCUUGAAGGAGCUACUAUGUGGAGAAGGAAACCUUGAAUUUGUACUAUUUUCUAGUUGAAUUUGAAUUUCUUCUCUCUACUUUUCUCUCUCUAGAAUUGAAAAUUUUUAUGACUCUUUGAUCUUAUAAUUUCAAGUGAUGAUUCAUAUA